UGCGGGGACACGCGCGCGAGGCGCCACCCGGUAUGGAAUACCGGGGGAAAGCGGAACGUGAGGGCACCAGGAAAACCCGGUGCCGGAAUCACCCGCCGCGAGACGACCGAAAUCAAGUAGGGAAGCGCGCGGGGCGCGCGUCAAGAAAAGCCGCUAUCGUUCGCACCGUACCCGUACCGUAAACCGACACAGGUGGAUAGGGCGAGGAGCCCAAGGCCGGCGGAAGAAGCAUUGUUAAGGAACUCGGCAAAAUGACCCCGUAACUUCGGGAGAAGGGGUGCCACAGAAAUGUGGCCGCAGAGAACAGGCUCAAGCAACUGUUUAGCAAAAACACAGGUCUAUGCAAAGCCGCAAGGCGACGUAUAUGGGCUGACGCCUGCCCGGUGCUGGAAGGUUACGAGGAGGGGUUAGCGCAAGCGAAGCUCUGAAUCCAAGCCCCAGUAAACGGCGGCCGUAACUAUAACGGUCCUAAGGUAGCGAAAUUCCUUGUCGGGUAAGUUCCGACCCGCACGAAAGGCGUAAUGAUUUGAGCACUGUCUCGACAAUGCAUCCGGUAAAAUUGAAGUGCCAGUGAAGAUGCUGGCUACCCGCGCCAGGACGGGAAGACCCCAUGGAGCUUUACUCCAGCCUGGCACUGGGAUCCGGUACCGCCUGCACAGGAUAGGCGGGAGGCUUCGAGGGCGAUCUUUCGGGAUCGCCGGAGCCGAUGUUGGGAUACCACCCUUGUGGCACUGGGUUUCUAACCGAUAUCCGUAAGCCGGAGUCGGGACAAUGCCAGGCGGGGAGUUUGACUGGGGCGGUCGCCUCCGAAAGUGUAUCGGAGGCGCUCAAAGGUCCGCUCAGGAUGGACGGAAACCAUCCGGAGAGCGCAAAGGCAGAAGCGGGCUUGACUGCGACACCGACGGGUGGAGCAGGUACGAAAGUAGGACUUAGUGAUCCGGUGGCAGAAAGUGGGAUUGCCAUCGCUCAACGGAUAAAAGCUACCCUGGGAUAACAGGCUUAUCACUCCCAAGAGUUCACAUCGACGGAGUGGUUUGGCACCUCGAUGUCGGCUCAUCGCAUCCUGGGGCUGUAGUAGGUCCCAAGGGUUGGGCUGUUCGCCCAUUAAAGCGGUACGCGAGCUGGGUUCAGAACGUCGUGAGACAGUUCGGUCCCUAUCCGGCGCGGGCGCAGGACAUUUGAGAGGAGCCGUCCUUAGUACGAGAGGACCGGGACGGACCCGCCUCCGGUGCACCGGCUGGGCCGCCAGGCCCAUGACCGGGUAGCUGUGCGGGGAAGGGAUAAACGCUGAAGGCAUCUAAGCGUGAAGCCCCCCUCAAGACAAGAUGUCCCAUCCCUACAAGGGAGUAAGUCCCCUUUGAGAAGAAGAGGUUGAUAGGGCAGAGGUGGAAGUGCCGUAAGGCAUGGAGCUGACUGCUACUAAUCGGAC
RNAcentral lists this ribosomal RNA (1429 nucleotides) under metagenome. RNAcentral's name for it is "bacterial LSU rRNA". It matches the Rfam family "Bacterial large subunit ribosomal RNA", at positions 1465 to 2910 of the family's 2925-position model. The record is from RNAcentral.